CUGCUGCAACCCAGAAAUUGAACUGAAUAUUUUAUUUGACCAAGUGUGAUUAGAUACACAAGGAAUUUGUCUCCGGGUGCAGCACAGAAUAAUGAUAAUCACCAAUAAACGAGGGGAGUAAAGAAGAUAAUAAAGCUGGAUCUGAAUUCAUCUCCUCUCCAAGACCAGACCACUUCAAGGCUUAGAUAUUUCAAGGCCUGGCAAUUCAGUCCUGGCUUUGCCACCCACCCACUCACGUUCCUUUUGAUGUUUGUCCCGACACCCAGCAACAUGGAAGUUGGAAUCAAUGUCCUCUUCUGCCCUUCCAAAAUUCAGCCGCUUGGCGAUGGCUCAUAUUUAUGAUGGUCGCAGUGACCUGAUAAGCAAAGUCAAUGGGGAAGCCAGAUUUGUUUAGCAACUGGGUUACUAAUUUAUCAACUGCAGCGAUUCACUUCAGAGCUGUGGCAAGAAAGGUCAUAAAAUCGGGCAAGACUCAAUGUCUCACUUAACAACAGAAAUGCAACAGCACCAUCACCAGACUGUGACCUGACCAGACGAUCCAGAAAGACACCGUGGUUGGCAUAAAACCCAAGACAUGACUCAAAAGGCCCAAGACGGCGGCAUCCUCCACUUUGCGAGGAGCUCCUUUGUUCUCCUGCAAAUCCCAACAAAGCCAGUCAAAUAAAGGCUUGAGAGGCUUUGUUGCUGCAUUAAAGUUUCUGAGCAUAGCUGGGAAUUGGGCGCACAGCAGCCAGAGAGCUUUUGUUACCAAGCUCAGGCGUGCAGGGCGAGUUGUCAGCAGGGCCACGAGGGUUGCCCCUGUCCAGCAGAGGCUCCCCAGGCAGGGCUGACUGCAAGAGUCAUUCCCGUGCCAUGUGCCCCACUUCCCACCCCUUGUAGAAGGAAGAGGCUGCUUGGACCAGCUAUACCUUCCUAAACUGCUUUUCUUUGCCAGAUUAGUUGAUUCCUCCUGCUAGCUGAAAUUGGCAUGAUCCUGACCAAGAUUACCCCAAAGGCUUCCUUUUGUGUUCUAAGCCAGGGGAGCAGAUAAGCAAAUAGCUGGCGCCAAGGCAAUUCUCUCUGUUGUGUGCUUGCUUGCCAUCUGGUAAUCGUCUGGUAAUCGCUUCCUCUCCAAUGGUUGUAAACACAAACACUGAUUUCACCUUGCUAUUCUAGCAUCAAUGAGAGCCACAAAGGGCUGCAGGAUUUACCCCUUUCCCCAAGCUUUCUUGUGAGUCAAAUUCCAGAAUGUGAACCUUCUCUGCCCUUAGGGCUCACCUGGCUGAUUGGGGUUGUAUCUUCCUGACACAUAAGUAUUCAGGGUCAGUUUCUUAAUAAACCUUUUUAAAGAUGUA
Molecule: long non-coding RNA, 1334 nt
Organism: Crotalus tigris (Tiger rattlesnake)
Lineage: Eukaryota; Metazoa; Chordata; Lepidosauria; Squamata; Viperidae
Exons: 2
Source: RefSeq, a predicted model, not a curated record